UAGCCCCAUCUUCCCCCUUUUAUUUCACGCAUCCAAGUGAAAUAACACACAUACACACACGCCGAGCUUCGUCCCUCCCCUCCUCAGUUCUGCUUCUGCUUGCACGGACACACGCACGCGCGCAUAGCUUGCACCGUCCUAAGCGGAAGAGAAAAUGUCUUUUGAGCUUCCCGAGCUGUACAUCAACCCCCAGUUCUCCUGGGGUCCUCCCGAGGAGGAGAUGAAGCUGGACGACGGCGCCCCCUUCGAGCUCUACUCCAAGGCGGACCCGCUGGAGGCGCUGGACUGGUUCACCUACAAGAAAGAGGCGGAUGUGAGCGACAGCGAUAGCGACGACGAAGCCGUGGCGGCCAACAAGCGCAAGGCGUUCAAGCAGGUGGAGGACAACGCCCGUCUCAACGCGUUGCGCACGGAGCGCGAGAAGACAGUCAUGUUCAACCCGCGCAACAACGGCCCGCGUAACGCGAAGUUGGCGGCCGGCAAGAAGGGCGGCAAGGACAGCCGCAACAACAACCAGCGCCGCAACCGCCGCAAGGUGACGGAGCUGCCAAACACUUACAACGCCUCUGCGAUGGCUGUGGUGCAGCACGUGAUGAAGCAGACGGAUAUGACGAAACUCCGCAUGAGCGCGCUACCCAAGGUGAUCGAGCUCGGCCUCUAUGGUACCCCACCGAUCUACAACACCGGCAUCGAGGCAGCCACGUGCGCACGCCCGCUGCCGCUCGACGAAUCCAAGUACGAGGAGGACUACUUUAUGCGUGGGCUCACCACGGAGGAUCCGGAGCUGCGCAAGAUCAUGGGCGAGGCGCAGCGCUACCCGCUCGUGGUUGUCACGGAUGAGAUUCUGUCACUGCUGAUGGUGUGCACCCGCUCCUCUUACCCGUGGCACAUUCGCGUGCUCAACUACAACAACAUCUGGAUCCUGGUCAAGGGCGAGGACAGCAACAUUGAAAAGCAGUGGGUGAGCGAGACGGCGGGGCAUGAGAUUCGCCCGUCCGAGGGCGCCGACAACCGUGCCGAGCGCAUCUCUUCCCUGGGCGAGGAGUCGACCAAGGUGUACGACUGCUUCGCGCGCGCCUCGUGCGCGAAGAGCUUUGCACAAAUCAAGACGAACCGCAGCCCCUUCUCCCGCAAGCAGCCGCGCAUGUACAGCUACCGCCGCUACAUCAUGCACGACGGCACGCCGGACCGCUACGACAUCGUCGUGCGCUGCGAAGUGGAUGCACUGAUGCCGCGCACGAACGACCGCGUCCGCUGCUUCGCGCUGCUGGAGCAGUGCGUCGUCAGCGAGAAGGACUCGUCGUGGCGCCGCGAGGGCCUGCUGAAGAACGCCGCCUCCUUCCUGCCCAUCGAGUACGCGCACAACGGCUGCAAGAUCGCUCGCUGGACGGCGCUGUCGCUACUGUCGGACGCAAAGCUGAUGAAAAUCGGUUUCGUGACCUGCGAGGAAAGAAUGGAGAAGGGCCAGCGCGUGUUCGACCACAAGCAGCACGAGGUGCUCUCCGUGCAGACCUACUCGCCCGCGUCGCUCGCCACACAGUUCGGUAUUGACGUGUCGAACAUGUGGGCCAUCGUGGACCACAUCAUGCGACCCUUCAUCGAGGGCCAUUCGAUCUGCCCGUCGAUCCUCAUGAAGCCUGGUGACAAGUCAGAGCUGAUCGUCGUCGAGGAGGAGGACGACGACGACGAAAGCGACGAGGACGACUCGGAGGAGGACGGCGACGACGGCGAUGACAAGGACGACGAGUAGAGUAACGUGGCUGGAUGCUGUCGGAUGAAGUCCUGCAACACGCAGCCACGUUCUAUUUUCCUUGUUCUGUGUUGGUCAAUGCCUUCCACCCGGCUGUAUUUGUUUGUUUGUUUGUUUUUUGGUGGGCGGGUUCACUGUUAAAUCAAAGUGUAAGUAAGUUCAUCUGGUGUGGUGCUAGGGCAGUUGCUGGGGCUUGCUGCAACGGUGACGUUCUGUUUUGUCUGUUGGUACAUGGCUGUCGUGAAUCCGUGUCUGUGCGUGUAUUUUGUGUCCCUCUGCGUUGAUGCACCAGUGCUCUUGUCGCGCUCUUCCGCCAUCGCAGAUUGCAGCGAGGCGCCAGGGCAAGAGAACAGAGAAGAAAGGAAAAAGAAAGCAAGUGGUGGGACUAAAAGGUAAGAUACGCACAACAACAUG
This 2164-nucleotide unclassified non-coding RNA is filed under the name Leishmania donovani. RNAcentral describes it as "gene:LdHU3.30.4090(CDS-product:eukaryotic_transla tion_initiation_factor_3_subunit_7-like_protein)". Lineage: Eukaryota; Euglenozoa; Kinetoplastea; Trypanosomatida; Trypanosomatidae. The record is from RNAcentral.